UGAAUAUUAUAACAAUGUUUUAUUGUGAUUUAACAAAAUAAAUUAUUUUAUGUUUAGUAAUAAUAUGGUCCGCGGUUGCAUCCGCACCCGCAGCUGCCAGUGAUGGUGACAGUGCCAGCGGCUGGCAGAUCGCCCGCGAAGCGCACAGCGCCGAGGAUCGGCACCUGGCCAGCGACGAGGGUGGUGCCAGCGACUGGCAUCUCACCAGCGACCGCCACGUCACCGAUACCAGCUCCGCCAUAUGCACCGAGUUCUAUAGCUGCUGGGGCCAUGCCUA
Long non-coding RNA from Maniola jurtina (meadow brown), 277 nucleotides. RefSeq lists it as uncharacterized. The record is from RefSeq and is a predicted model, not a curated record. NCBI's taxonomy places the organism in Eukaryota, Metazoa, Arthropoda, Insecta, Lepidoptera, Nymphalidae. The transcript is spliced from 2 exons.